Molecule: ribosomal RNA, 212 nt
Filed under: Clostridioides difficile
Lineage: Bacteria; Bacillati; Bacillota; Clostridia; Peptostreptococcales; Peptostreptococcaceae
Description: partial 23S ribosomal RNA
Rfam family: Bacterial large subunit ribosomal RNA
Source: RNAcentral
AAGGGGUUCCACCAUCAGGUGGCCGCAGAGAAUAGGCCCAAGCGACUGUUUACCAAAAACAUAGGUUUCUGCUAAGUCGCAAGACGAUGUAUAGGAGCUGACGCCUGCCCGGUGCUGGAAGGUUAAGGGGAUCUGUUAGAGCAAUCGAAGCAGUGAACUUAAGCCCCAGUAAACGGCGGCCGUAACUAUAACGGUCCUAAGGUAGCGAAAUU